CUUCGCAGUCCCAGCCCCCGUGGAGGUCACCAGCCCAGGGGACCUCCCUGGCCUGGCCCCCUGGGGGUGGCAUGCGGGGACAGGGCCAGGGCCAGGCCUCCCCCCCAGGGCAGGACGGCCCCGCCUGGCGCUAUCUCAGGAGCCAGAUGCCCCCAGCUGACUCAGGCCCGGCCACGCCCAGCCCGGCGUCCCCCGCCCACCCUCGGGCCUCGCGGAUUCCGAGCUGCCAGAGCCGCUGCUCCUCCUGCACCGGGCGAGGGUAGAGGGAGGGCAUCAGCCCACGGGGCGCUGGGGAAGAGCAGCGGGGCUGUGCUUGGGAGGAAGGGGCUCAGCAGAGGUCCCCGCCCCAGCGGUCAGCGCGGGGCCUCCCAGCCCCUUCAGCAGGGGCCUCCAGCCUCUCCUCCUCCUGACUCUAGACUGGAGCCUGGUGCUGUCCUCAUCUUGUCCCCAGCCGGGAGGGUGAGCUCUGGGGACCCUGAGGACCUCAGAGGCCUCCAUGUGUCAGCGUGCCUCGGUCUCCCCAGAUGGGGCCUUGCUAUGUAGUCCAGGCUGGCCUCAAACUCCUCCUGCCUCAGCCUCCCGAGUGCUAUUAUAGCUUGUGCUGGCCAUGAAGGGGGCUGAGAAGCCGGCCGUGGUGGCGCACAUCUGUCAUCCCAGCACUCAGGAGGCUGAGACAGGAGGAUGGCAAGUCCAACCCCAGCCUGGGGAAGUUGGUGACUUAGUGAGACCCUGUGUCAAAAUAAAAAAGGUGCCUUUAACAAGAUGUCAAUAAUCUGAGGAAUCCACACGGCUGGUGAGCUGGGCCUGGAGCCCGGUUCGGGGCUGGUGCGGUGCUGGGACAGAGCUGAGUAACCCCCAACACAGCCGAGGUGACCCUGGAGCCGAGAGCCGGGUCCCUUCGCUGCCUCCCGCUGCUGCCCUUCCCGCCCGGCCUGGACCCUGAGCCUCUUCCUCCGGCUCCCACACGGGCUGCCGCUCCCUUCCUGGAGACUGGUCCCUAUCUCCCCGCUGCUGCUGCUGCUGCUGCUGCUCCUGCUCCCCACCCCCCCACGCUGCUCCUGAUAUCUCCGCCCUGCAGCUCCAGGUGCCUAUCUCCUGGGCCCGCUGGAGCCCCUGUGACUGAGGUGCUUCCGCCUCCCUGGCUGCCCACCCGCCUGGACCCACACCUGCUGGCCUCGGAAGCCAGUGGGGCCGACGUCCAUGCUCCGGGUCCCCUCGCCCUCUGCUCCCCUCCAUCCUUCUCCUCCCGAGUGCCAGCUGCACCCAGGGGCCACACAGGCUUGGAAGUCGCGACAGGAAGCUGUGCUGGGCAGCUGAGGCCAGAGCUGUCUGCACAACAGAGUAACGCAGUGGCCCAGGACAAGGUGACAGCAUGUCCUGCAGGACCUCAGGUGCCGUGACUGCGGGUGCAGGAGUCAGGCCACAGGCAGGAAGGGCUCACCGAGCUGUGGGAGUAGGCAGGGCUCACAGGUCCUGAAUGAAGCAGAAACAGCCGGGCAUGGUGGCACAUGCCUGUCAUCUCAACGCUUGGGAGGCUGAGGCAGGAGGUCGCUGUGAGUUCCAGGCCAGCCUGGGCUAUACAGCGAGAUCCUGUCUCAAAAAAACAAAAAAACAACAAAAAAGCAGACACAGAAGAACCAAGGGUGGACUGGCCGUUUUGAAGUCUCUCCUUUAAGGAGGGACAGGAGCUGCAGAAUAGAAGUGACCAGAGGGUAGGGCAGGUGCUGCAGGCUCUGUGAGCCUUAGUGGCCGAGGCGGCCGUGCUGAGUGGAAGUGGCUGCUCGGAGGGCGGGCUGUGCUUCUCAGUUUCCUGGAGGCCCGAGGAGUGGCCGCCCUCCAGCAGGCAACUGCAGCUCAGCCCCGACUUGCAGCGACCGGCCCAGCACCGGCCCCUGUUCUCAAUGACACCAGUGCCGUGCCAGAGCCCGAGGGAUAGGACAGUGUCCAGGGGUCCCUGCCAACACGUGCAAGCGAGGCGUGGGUUUUCGUCACAUGCUGGCUCGGCCGCUCCCGUCAAAGGGUUGACCCUUGAAGUCUGGGUGGUGUCAUCCAGCCGUUACAAGGCCUUAAGAACACAAAGGGCCCGGAUGGGAUGGCACAGGCCUGUUGUACCAGCACUCUGGGAGGCUGAGGCAGGAGGAUCCAGUUUGAGUCCAGCUCCAGCAACUUAGCUUCUUAGUAAGAUCUCAAAAUAAGAAAAGAAGAAAAAAAGAGGGCUGGACAUGGAGCUCGGGGCAAAGGCCCUGGGUUCAGUUCCCGGUGAAAAAAAAAGAACAAAAGAGGUUUCCCUGAUGAAGAAGAAAUUCUGCCGGCGAAUGGCAAUGUGGAUCCUGGGCAGAGGUUCCAGCUCUCCCUGCUCCAAGGCGCCUGGCCCAAGUGCGCUGAGGGUGAGGCCAGCCAGCAAAGUAGUCAGGCUCCCAAGACAAGCUCUUCUGCUCAUUUGUUUUCUGAGACAGGGUCUUGCUGUGUAGCCCAGGCUGGCCUCGAAUUCACAGGGAUCCUCCUGCCUCAGCCUCCCCCGAGCUGGGAUGACAGGUGUGCACCACCAUGCCUGGCAAAGCAAAAUCAAUUUAAAGACUAGUUGAAGAAAAAGAAAAACAACCCAGUUUCAAAAGUGGUCAAGGAGCUGAGGCAGGAGGAUCUCUGAGUUUGAGGCCAGCCUGGGCUACACAGCAGAUCCUGUCUCCAUAUAUAUAUAUGUGUGUGUGUGUGUUUACUUUUUGGUACCGGGGAUUGAACUCGGGUCCUUGCGCUUGCGCAGCAGGCAACGAAACCACUGAGCUAAAUCCCUGGUCCCUGUCUCCAUAAAUUAAUUAAUUAAUUAAUUAAGAAGCUGAGCUGACGUCCCCAGAGACACUCACAGGUGGCGCCUGGAGGCUGCCCACAGGGUCACCGGGCCGUGACCUCAGAGGCCAGGAGCCCCCAUGGUCUGAGGAGGCACUGCACACAGCAAACGUCAGCCCAGGGAGGGCAGCCACGCCCCCCGAGGGAAUGCACCGCCGCUGCACUGUGGGUCCUGCUCCACCUGGCCGGGAGGUGGGGAGGCGCAGAGGGAACAUUUCAGAAGCGGAUGGCAGCUGUGCUUGAACAGUGUCGGAAAUGUGAUCUGCACACUGGAAAAUGGUCAGGGUGAGCCGGGCGCGGUGGGCAGGCCUGUGGUCUAGUGUGGUGACUAAUGGUCACCUUGGAGCGUCCAGCUGAGCUGAGCCUGCAUGGCUGGGCGUGAAGACACACCUGAGGAUUGCUGCCAACAGCGUAAGAAGAGACCUGGAGGGCGAGAUCAGGGGCUGUAGAUGUAUUUACUUAUUUAUUUGGUACCUGGGAUCGAACUCCGGACCCUGUGUUUGCGAGGCAGGCAGCAGCACUACUGAGCUACAUCCCCAGCCCAGCUGUUGAUUUUCUAGGAGAAGCUUGCUGCGGCUGGUUUCCUGAUGUGAACUCCGCUGUUCUCGCCCGAGGAGGAGCUUGGGGGCUCACUGUCUCGGGGAAUGGCUGCUGGUCUUCACCGUGGGCGUCACUUCCUGCUCCAGUGCAGACCCCUCAGCCUCGUGCCACAGGUCCUUCCCCCACUGGAGCAGACUUUCCAGCUUCCACCACUGGCCUUGGGCCUUCCCGGGGCAGAGCCUCGAGACGGACAAGCAUGAGGCACUGCCGUGGGCUCUGGGCCUCUGGCUGGACUCAUCAAGGACACUGCUGUGGGGUCCAGGCCCUCAGCUGGAUUCCUUGGCUCUCUAGUGUGCAGCUAGAUCACUUGCACUCCUCUGAAGUUGACUUUUCAGGUGACUACUAUAAAAUCCUAUAAACUAUGUGUCCUGUGUUAAAUCUAUUCCCUUGCAAAACCCUGACUACAACAUCUAGCUUCUUGGGAGGCUGAGGAAGGAGGAUCACAAGUUUAAGGUCAGCCAGG
Molecule: long non-coding RNA, 3907 nt
Filed under: Heterocephalus glaber (naked mole-rat)
Lineage: Eukaryota; Metazoa; Chordata; Mammalia; Rodentia; Bathyergidae
Description: lncRNA (ENSHGLG00100045765.1)
Source: RNAcentral